Non-coding RNA from Pyrococcus abyssi GE5, 54 nucleotides. NCBI's taxonomy places the organism in Archaea, Methanobacteriati, Methanobacteriota, Thermococci, Thermococcales, Thermococcaceae. The record is from Rfam.
GCCGAUGAGGACCGUUAGCCACGCUGAGGAUGAUGAUAAGAGGGUUAGCCGAGG